GACGAUCGCUGGCGGCGUGCUUAACACAUGCAAGUCGAACGGUGAAGCGCCGCCUUUGUUGUGUGCUCUGGUGGAGUAGCGGUCAGUAACAUGAGAGUUACGUGCCCUUCACUCUGCUUCAGCUUAACGACAUUAGGGUUUAUCCAGGAUAGGAGAUUCUGCUUCUGUGUCGGGGUUGGUCUGUUUCGGCUGUUGCGGCGGGUGGGGAGGGACUCGCGGCGUAUCAUCGUGUUGGUGGGGAAGUGGCCUACCAAGGCUUUGACGGGUAGCCGGCCUGAGAGGGUGACCGGCCACAUUGGGACUGAGAUACGGCCCAGACUCCUACGGGAGGCAGCAGUGGGGAAUAUUGCACAAUGGGCGGAAGCCUGAUGCAGCAACGCCGCGUGCGGGAUGACGGCCUUCGGGUUGUAAACCGCUUUCGCCUGUGACGAAGCGUGAGUGACGGUAAUGGGUAAAGAAGCACCGGCUAACUACGUG
RNAcentral lists this ribosomal RNA (477 nucleotides) under uncultured bacterium. Its description in RNAcentral is "partial 16S ribosomal RNA". It matches the Rfam family "Bacterial small subunit ribosomal RNA", at positions 28 to 507 of the family's 1533-position model. The record is from RNAcentral.